Molecule: non-coding RNA, 110 nt
Filed under: Heyndrickxia ginsengihumi
Lineage: Bacteria; Bacillati; Bacillota; Bacilli; Caryophanales; Bacillaceae
Description: Bacillus ginsengihumi SAM-I sequence
Rfam family: SAM riboswitch aptamer (S box leader)
About the family: The SAM riboswitch is found upstream of a number of genes which code for proteins involved in methionine or cysteine biosynthesis in Gram-positive bacteria. The SAM riboswitch acts at the level of transcription termination control.
Source: Rfam by way of RNAcentral
CUCUUAUCGAGAGCGGCGGAGGGACUAGGCCCUGCGAAGCCCGGCAACCUUCAAGGUAAAUCCUUGAAAAGGUGCUAAUUCCUACAGAUCUUUGGUCUGAAAGAUAAGGG